This 216-nucleotide ribosomal RNA is filed under the name Glomeromycotina sp. RNAcentral describes it as "partial small subunit ribosomal RNA". The stretch from base 40 to 216 matches the Rfam family "Eukaryotic small subunit ribosomal RNA", at positions 686 to 864 of the family's 1831-position model. Lineage: Eukaryota; Fungi; Glomeromycota. The record is from RNAcentral.
GGGUCAGUAGGUUGGUCGUGCCACCGGUACGUACUGGUCUCACUGAUUCCUCCUUCCUGAAGAACCGUAAUGCCACUAAUUUGGUGUUGCGGGGAAACAGGACUGUUACUUUGAAAAAAUUAGAGUAUUUAAAGCAAGCUAACGCUUGAAUACAUUAGCAUGGAAUAAUGAAAUAGGACGAUCGAUCCUAUUUUGUUGGUUUCUAGGAUUGACGUA